UAGUCCACGCAGUAAACGAUGAAUACUCGCUGUAGUCGGUAUUGACCCCGACUGUAGCUUAGCUAACGCGUUAAGUAUUCCGCCUGGGAAGUACGGUCGCAAGAUUAAAACUCAAAGGAAUUGACGGGGACCCGCACAAGCGGUGGAUCAUGUGGUUUAAUUCGAAGCAACGCGCAGAACCUUACCCGGCCUUGACAUCCCACUGAAUGUUUUAGAGAUAAUUCAGACCCGCAAGGGACGGUGGUGACAGGUGCUGCAUGGCUGUCGUCAGCUCGUGUCGUGAGAUGUUCGGUUAAGUCCGGCAACGAGCGCAACCCUCGUCAUUAGUUGCCAUCAUUAAGUUGGGCAUUCUAGUGAGACUGCCGAUGUCAAAUCGGAGGAAGGUGGGGAUGACGUCAAGUCCUCAUGGCCCUUACGGCCGGGGCUACACACGUGAUACAAUGGAUGGCACAGAGAGCUGCCAACUCGCGAGAGGGAGCUAAUCUCAAAAAACCAUCCCCAGUUC
RNAcentral lists this ribosomal RNA (505 nucleotides) under uncultured bacterium. RNAcentral's name for it is "bacterial SSU rRNA". It matches the Rfam family "Bacterial small subunit ribosomal RNA", at positions 791 to 1294 of the family's 1533-position model. The record is from RNAcentral.